Molecule: ribosomal RNA, 484 nt
Filed under: uncultured bacterium
Lineage: Bacteria
Description: partial 16S ribosomal RNA
Rfam family: Bacterial small subunit ribosomal RNA
Source: RNAcentral
AUUGAACGCUGGCGGCAGGCCUAACACAUGCAAGUCGAGCGGAUGAAGGGAGCCUGCUCCUGGAUUCAGCGGCGGACGGGUGAGUAAUGCCUAGGAAUCUGCCUGGUAGUGGGGGAUAACGUCCGGAAACGGGCGCUAAUACCGCAUACGUCCUGAGGGAGAAAGUGGGGGAUCUUCGGACCUCACGCUAUCAGAUGAGCCUAGGUCGGAUUAGCUAGUUGGUGGGGUAAAGGCCUACCAAGGCGACGAUCCGUAACUGGUCUGAGAGGAUGACCAGUCACACUGGAACUGAGACACGGUCCAGACUCCUACGGGAGGCAGCAGUGGGGAAUAUUGGACAAUGGGCGAAAGCCUGAUCCAGCCAUGCCGCGUGUGUGAAGAAGGUCUUCGGAUUGUAAAGCACUUUAAGUUGGGAGGAAGGGCAGUAAGUUAAUACCUUGCUGUUUUGACGUUACCAACAGAAUAAGCACCGGCUAACUUCGUG